GAUGAACGCUGGCGGCGUGCCUAAUACAUGCAAGUCGAGCGAACAGACGAGGAGCUUGCUCCUCUGACGUUAGCGGCGGACGGGUGAGUAACACGUGGAUAACCUACCUAUAACACUGGGAUAGCUUCGGGAAACCGGAGCUAAUACCGGAUAAUAUAUUGAACCGCAUGGUUCAAUAGUGAAAGACGGUUUUGCUGUCACUUAUAGAUGGAUCCGCGCCGCAUUAGCUAGUUGGUAAGGUAACGGCUUACCAAGGCAACGAUGCGUAGCCGACCUGAGAGGGUGAUCGGCCACACUGGAACUGAGACACGGUCCAGACUCCUACGGGAGGCAGCAGUAGGGAAUCUUCCGCAAUGGGCGAAAGCCUGACGGAGCAACGCCGCGUGAGUGAUGAAGGUCUUCGGAUCGUAAAACUCUGUUAUUAGGGAAGAACAAAUGUGUAAGUAACUAUGCACGUCUUGACGGUACCUAAUCAGAAAGCCACGGCUAACUACGUG
RNAcentral lists this ribosomal RNA (497 nucleotides) under uncultured bacterium. RNAcentral describes it as "partial 16S ribosomal RNA". It matches the Rfam family "Bacterial small subunit ribosomal RNA", at positions 28 to 507 of the family's 1533-position model. The record is from RNAcentral.